UAGUCCUCGCCACUGCUACCCAGAUAGCAGUACUUGCUGUUAGAAUUAUGAGCCGCAGUAAGUGCUUACCUGUUUGGGCAUCAGCGGUAGAGGAAUU
This 97-nucleotide microRNA precursor is filed under the name Petromyzon marinus (sea lamprey). Its description in RNAcentral is "microRNA pma-mir-302 precursor". Its record names the gene pma-mir-302. Lineage: Eukaryota; Metazoa; Chordata; Hyperoartia; Petromyzontiformes; Petromyzontidae. The record is from miRBase by way of RNAcentral.